RNAcentral lists this ribosomal RNA (710 nucleotides) under Sphingomonas melonis. Its description in RNAcentral is "bacterial SSU rRNA". It matches the Rfam family "Bacterial small subunit ribosomal RNA", at positions 797 to 1505 of the family's 1533-position model. The record is from RNAcentral. Lineage: Bacteria; Pseudomonadati; Pseudomonadota; Alphaproteobacteria; Sphingomonadales; Sphingomonadaceae.
ACGACGUAGAUGUUACUAGUUGUUGGGGAACUUGUUCUUUGGGUGGCACCUCUCACGCAUAAGUUGACCCCCUGGGGAGUACGGUCGCAAGAGUUGACUCCAAGAAAUGACGGGGACCCGCACAAACGGUGGAUGAUGUGGAUUAAUUUCAUGCAACGCGAAAAAACUUACCUACCCUUGACAUGCCAUUAGAGAAUUUCCAGAGAUGGAUCUCUUCCCUUCAAAAACUGGAACACAGGUGCUGCAUGGCUGUCGUCCUUCGGGUCGGGGAAGGUUGGGUUAAGUCCCGCAACAAGGGCAACCCUCUCCCUUAGUUACCAUCAUUUACUUGGGGACUCUAAUGGAACCGACGGUGAUAAGCCGGAGGAAGGUGAGGAUGACUCCUAGUGCUCCUGGUGCUUACGCGUUGGGCUACACACGUGGUACGAUGCCGAUGACUGGGGACAGCAAACUCGCGAGCUAAUCGCAAAUCUCCAAUCGCCGUCUCGGAUCGAAUUGUGCUCUGCAACUGCGAGAGCAUGAGAAUCGGAAUCUAUUCGUAAUAUCGGAAUUGCCAUGCCGAGGUGAAUACGUUCCCUUGCCUUGUACACCCCGCCCGCCACGCCAUGGGAGUUGGCUUCACCCGAUAGCCUAACGCUAACUCGGAAGAAAUACCACGCGACCACUUCGGGCUUAGCGAGUGGCGUGAACUCGUAACCGUAAAACCGUAA